This 468-nucleotide ribosomal RNA is filed under the name uncultured bacterium. Its description in RNAcentral is "partial 16S ribosomal RNA". It matches the Rfam family "Bacterial small subunit ribosomal RNA", at positions 28 to 507 of the family's 1533-position model. The record is from RNAcentral.
GACGAACGCUGGCGGCGUGCUUAACACAUGCCAGUCGAACGGAAAGGCCCUGCUUUUGUGGGGUGCUCGAGUGGCGAACGGGUGAGUAACACGUGAGUAACCUGCCCUUGACUUUGGGAUAACUUCAGGAAACUGGGGCUAAUACCGGAUAGGAGCUCCUGCUGCAUGGUGGGGGUUGGAAAGUUUCGGCGGUUGGGGAUGGACUCGCGGCUUAUCAGCUUGUUGGUGGGGUAGUGGCUUACCAAGGCUCUGACGGGUAGCCGGCCUGAGAGGGUGACCGGCCACAUUGGGACUGAGAUACGGCCCAGACCCCUACGGGAGGCAGCAGUGGGGAAUAUUGCACAAUGGGCGGAAGCCUGAUGCAGCAACGCCGCGUGCGGGAUGACGGCCUUCGGGUUGUAAACCGCUUUCGCCUGUGACGAAGCGUGAGUGACGGUAAUGGGUAAAGAAGCACCGGCUAACUACGUG